GCAUUGGUGGUUCAGUGGCAGAAUUCUCACCUUCCACGUGGGAGACCUGGGUUUGAUUCCCCGCCAAUGCG
Molecule: transfer RNA, 71 nt
Filed under: Loxodonta africana (African savanna elephant)
Lineage: Eukaryota; Metazoa; Chordata; Mammalia; Proboscidea; Elephantidae
Rfam family: tRNA
About the family: Transfer RNA (tRNA) molecules are approximately 80 nucleotides in length. Their secondary structure includes four short double-helical elements and three loops (D, anti-codon, and T loops).
Source: Rfam by way of RNAcentral